GCCGGGCACAGUGGUGCGUGCCUGUAGUCCCACUCGGGAGGCUGAAGUGGGAGGAUCGCUUGAGCCCAGGAGUUCUGGGCUGUAGUGUGCUCUGCCGAUCAGUGUCCGAACUAAGUUUGGCAUCAAUAUGGUGACUUCCCGGGAGUGGGGGACCACCAGGUUGCCUAAGGAGGGAUGACCCUGCCCAGGUCCGAAAUGGAGCAGGUCAAAACUCCUGUGCUAAUCAGUGGUGGGAUUGCGCCUGUGAAUAGCCACUGCACUCCAGCCUUAGCGAGACCCUGUCUUGU
Callithrix jacchus (white-tufted-ear marmoset) is the source of this 287-nucleotide unclassified non-coding RNA. It matches the Rfam family "Metazoan signal recognition particle RNA". Rfam says of the family: The signal recognition particle (SRP) is a universally conserved ribonucleoprotein. It is involved in the co-translational targeting of proteins to membranes. Lineage: Eukaryota; Metazoa; Chordata; Mammalia; Primates; Cebidae. The record is from Ensembl.